CCUACGGGGGGCAGCAGUGGGGAAUAUUGGACAAUGGGGGGAACCCUGAUCCAGCGACGCCGCGUGAGUGAAGAAGUAUCUCGGUAUGUAAAGCUCUAUCAGCAGGGAAGAAAGAAAUGACGGUACCUGACUAAGAAGCCCCGGCUAACUACGUGCAAGCAGCCGCGGGAAUACGUAGGGGGCAAGCGUUAUCCGGAUUUACUGGGUGUAAAGGGAGCGUAGACGGCGAUGCAAGUCUGAAGUGAAAGGCGGGGGCCCAACCCCCGGACUGCUUUGGAAACUGUAUGGCUGGAGUGCAGGAGAGGUAAGUGGAAUUCCUAGUGUAGCGGUGAAAUGCGUAGAUAUUAGGAGGAACACCAGUGGCGAAGGCAGCUUACUGGACUGUAACUGACGUUGAGGCUCGAAAGCGUGGGGAGCAAACAGGAUUAGAUACCCCAGUAGUC
RNAcentral lists this ribosomal RNA (443 nucleotides) under uncultured bacterium. Its description in RNAcentral is "partial 16S ribosomal RNA". It matches the Rfam family "Bacterial small subunit ribosomal RNA", at positions 338 to 795 of the family's 1533-position model. The record is from RNAcentral.